CCCUUAGAUGUUCUGGGCUGCACGCGCGCUACACUGACGUACGCAACGAGUGUCCUUUACCGAGAGGUAUGGGUAAUCAUUUGAGUGUACGUCGUGAUGGGGAUAGAAUAUUGUAAUUAUUACUCUUCAACGAGGAAUUCCUAGUAAGCGCAAGUCAGCAGCUUGCGCUGAUUACGUCCCUGCCCUUUGUACACACCGCCCGUCGCUCCUACCGAUGGGUGAUCCGGUGAAUGAUUCGGACUCGGUUGUCUCUAGCCACUAGUGGCGCUCGAGAAAGUUUUGUGAACCUUAUCACUUGGAGGAAGGAGAAGUCGUAACA
RNAcentral lists this ribosomal RNA (319 nucleotides) under uncultured eukaryote. RNAcentral's name for it is "partial 18S ribosomal RNA". It matches the Rfam family "Eukaryotic small subunit ribosomal RNA", at positions 1470 to 1796 of the family's 1831-position model. The record is from RNAcentral.